AACGAACGCUGGCGGCAUGCCUAACACGUGCAAGUCGAACGAUUGCCUUCGGGUGAUAGUGGCGCACGGGUGCGUAACGCGUGGGAAUCUGCCCUUAGGUUCGGAAUAACAGCUGGAAACGGCUGCUAAUACCGGAUGAUAUCGCAAGAUCAAAGAUUUAUCGCCUGAGGAUGAGCCCGCGUUGGAUUAGGUAGUUGGUGGGGUAAAGGCCUACCAAGCCGACGAUCCAUAGCUGGUCUGAGAGGAUGAUCAGCCACACUGGGACUGAGACACGGCCCAGACUCCUACGGGAGGCAGCAGUGGGGAAUAUUGGACAAUGGGCGCAAGCCUGAUCCAGCAAUGCCGCGUGAGUGAUGAAGGCCCUAGGGUUGUAAAGCUCUUUUACCCGGGAAGAUAAUGACUGUACCGGGAGAAUAAGCCCCGGCUAACUCCGUG
Molecule: ribosomal RNA, 435 nt
Filed under: uncultured bacterium
Lineage: Bacteria
Description: partial 16S ribosomal RNA
Rfam family: Bacterial small subunit ribosomal RNA
Source: RNAcentral